AGUGAACGCUGGCGGUAGGCCUAACACAUGCAAGUCGAACGGCAGCACAGUAAGAGCUUGCUCUUACGGGUGGCGAGUGGCGGACGGGUGAGGAAUACAUCGGAAUCUACUUUUUCGUGGGGGAUAACGUAGGGAAACUUACGCUAAUACCGCAUACGACCUACGGGUGAAAGCAGGGGAUCUUCUGACCUUGCGCGAUUGAAUGAGCCGAUGUCGGAUUAGCUAGUUGGCGGGGUAAAGGCCCACCAAGGCGACGAUCCGUAGCUGGUCUGAGAGGAUGAUCAGGCACACUGGAACUGAGACACGGUCCAGACUCCUACGGGAGGCAGCAGUGGGGAAUAUUGGACAAUGGGCGCAAGCCUGAUCCAGCCAUACCGCGUGGGUGAAGAAGGCCUUCGGGUUGUAAAGCCCUUUUGUUGGGAAAGAAAAGCAGCAGGUUAAUACCCCGCUGUUCUGACGGUACCCAAAGAAUAAGCACCGGCUAACUUCGUG
This 492-nucleotide ribosomal RNA is filed under the name uncultured bacterium. Its description in RNAcentral is "partial 16S ribosomal RNA". It matches the Rfam family "Bacterial small subunit ribosomal RNA", at positions 29 to 507 of the family's 1533-position model. The record is from RNAcentral.